AGUGAACGCUGGCGGUAGGCCUAACACAUGCAAGUCGAACGGCAGCACAGUAAGAGCUUGCUCUUACGGGUGGCGAGUGGCGGACGGGUGAGGAAUACAUCGGAAUCUACUUUUUCGUGGGGGAUAACGUAGGGAAACUUACGCUAAUACCGCAUACGACCUACGGGUGAAAGCAGGGGAACUUCGGACCUUGCGCGAUUGAAUGAGCCGAUGACGGAUUAGCUAGUUGGCGGGGUAAAGGCCCACCAAGGCGACGAUCCGUAGCUGGUCUGGGAGGCUGAUCAGCCACACUGGAACUGAGACACGGUCCAGGCUCCUACGGGAGGCAGCAGUGGGGAAUAUUGGACAAUGGGCGCAAGCCUGAUCCAGCCAUACCGCGUGGGUGAAGAAGGCCUUCGGGUUGUAAAGCCCUUUUGUUGGGAAAGAAAAGCAGCAGGUUAAUACCCCGCUGUUCUGACGGUACCCAAAGAAUAAGCACCGGCUAACUUCGUG
RNAcentral lists this ribosomal RNA (492 nucleotides) under uncultured bacterium. Its description in RNAcentral is "partial 16S ribosomal RNA". It matches the Rfam family "Bacterial small subunit ribosomal RNA", at positions 29 to 507 of the family's 1533-position model. The record is from RNAcentral.